UACAGAGGUCCCAAGCGUUGUUCGGAUUCACUGGGCGUAAAGGGUGCGUAGGUGGUGAGGUAAGUUUGAUGUGAAAUCUCCGGGCUCAACCCGGAAAUGGCAUUGAAUACUAUCUCGCUAGAGGAGUGGAGGGGGGACUGGAAUACUUGGUGUAGCAGUGAAAUGCGUAGAUAUCAAGUGGAACACCAGUGGCGAAGGCGAGUCCCUGGACACUUCCUGACACUGAGGCACGAAAGCUAGGGGAGCAAACAGG
Molecule: ribosomal RNA, 253 nt
Filed under: uncultured bacterium
Lineage: Bacteria
Description: partial 16S ribosomal RNA
Rfam family: Bacterial small subunit ribosomal RNA
Source: RNAcentral